Molecule: ribosomal RNA, 484 nt
Filed under: uncultured bacterium
Lineage: Bacteria
Description: partial 16S ribosomal RNA
Rfam family: Bacterial small subunit ribosomal RNA
Source: RNAcentral
AUUGAACGCUGGCGGCAGGCCUAACACAUGCAAGUCGAGCGGAUGAGGGGAGCUUGCUCCUGGAUUCAGCGGCGGAAGGGUGAGUAAUGCCUAGGAAUCUGCCUGGUAGUGGGGGAUAACGUCCGGAAACGGGCGCUAAUACCGCAUACGUCCUGAGGGAGAAAGUGGGGGAUCUUCGGACCUCACGCUCUCAGAUGAGCCUAGGUCGGAUUAGCUAGUUGGUGGGGUAAGGGCCUACCAAGCCGACGAUCCGUAACUGGUCUGAGAGGAUGAUCAGUCACACUGGAACUGAGACACGGUCCAGACUCCUACGGGAGGCAGCAGUGGGGAAUAUUGGACAAUGGGCGAAAGCCUGAUCCAGCCAUGCCGCGUGUGUGAAGAAGGUCUUCGGAUUGUAAAGCACGUUAAGUUGGGAGGAAGGGCAGUAAGUUAAUACCUUGCUGUUUUGACGGUACCAACAGAAUAAGCACCGGCUAACUUCGUG